AUUGAACGCUGGCGGUAUGCUUAACACAUGCAAGUCGAACGGUAACAUUGGAGCUUGCUCCAGAUGACGAGUGGCGGACGGGUGAGUAACACGUAGAAAUCUACCGAGUAGUGGGGGAUAGCCAGAAGAAAUUCUGAUUAAUACCGCAUGUGCACUAUGGUGUAAAGGAGGCCUCUAUUUAUAUGCUUUCGCUAUUUGAUGAGUCUGCGUCAGAUUAGCUUGUUGGUGGGGUAAUGGCCUACCAAGGCGACGAUCUGUAGCUGGUCUGAGAGGAUGAUCAGCCACACUGGGACUGAGACACGGCCCAGACUCCUACGGGAGGCAGCAGUGGGGAAUAUUGGACAAUGGGGGCAACCCUGAUCCAGCAAUACCGCGUGUGUGAAGAAGGCCUUCGGGUUGUAAAGCACUUUCAAUAGGGAGGAAAAGCUAGUAGUUAAUACCUGCUAGCCGUGACGUUACCUAUAGAAGAAGCACCGGCUAACUCCG
This 486-nucleotide ribosomal RNA is filed under the name uncultured Oceanospirillales bacterium. RNAcentral's name for it is "bacterial SSU rRNA". It matches the Rfam family "Bacterial small subunit ribosomal RNA", at positions 30 to 505 of the family's 1533-position model. Lineage: Bacteria; Pseudomonadati; Pseudomonadota; Gammaproteobacteria; Oceanospirillales. The record is from RNAcentral.